This 1506-nucleotide ribosomal RNA is filed under the name metagenome. RNAcentral describes it as "bacterial SSU rRNA". It matches the Rfam family "Bacterial small subunit ribosomal RNA". The record is from RNAcentral.
AGAGUUUGAUCCUGGUUCAGGACGAACGCUGGCGGCGUGCCUAAUACAUGCAAGUAGAACGCUGAAGAGAGGAGCUUGCUCUUCUUGGAUGAGUUGCGAACGGGUGAGUAACGCGUAGGUAACCUGCCUUGUAGCGGGGGAUAACUAUUGGAAACGAUAGCUAAUACCGCAUAACAAUGGAUGACCCAUGUCAUUUAUUUGAAAGGGGCAAAUGCUCCACUACAAGAUGGACCUGCGUUGUAUUAGCUAGUAGGUGAGGUAACGGCUCACCUAGGCGACGAUACAUAGCCGACCUGAGAGGGUGAUCGGCCACACUGGGACUGAGACACGGCCCAGACUCCUACGGGAGGCAGCAGUAGGGAAUCUUCGGCAAUGGGGGCAACCCUGACUGAGCAACGCCGCGUGAGUGAAGAAGGUUUUCGGAUCGUAAAGCUCUGUUGUAAGUCAAGAACGAGUGUGAGAGUGGAAAGUUCACACUGUGACGGUAGCUUACCAGAAAGGGACGGCUAACUACGUGCCAGCAGCCGCGGUAAUACGUAGGUCCCGAGCGUUGUCCGGAUUUAUUGGGCGUAAAGCGAGCGCAGGCGGUUUGAUAAGUCUGAAGUUAAAGGCUGUGGCUCAACCAUAGUUCGCUUUGGAAACUGUCAAACUUGAGUGCAGAAGGGGAGAGUGGAAUUCCAUGUGUAGCGGUGAAAUGCGUAGAUAUAUGGAGGAACACCGGUGGCGAAAGCGGCUCUCUGGUCUGUAACUGACGCUGAGGCUCGAAAGCGUGGGGAGCGAACAGGAUUAGAUACCCUGGUAGUCCACGCCGUAAACGAUGAGUGCUAGGUGUUGGAUCCUUUCCGGGAUUCAGUGCCGCGGCUAACGCAUUAAGCACUCCGCCUGGGGAGUACGACCGCAAGGUUGAAACUCAAAGGAAUUGACGGGGGCCCGCACAAGCGGUGGAGCAUGCGGUUUAAUUCGAAGCAACGCGAAGAACCUUACCAGGUCUUGACAUCCCGAUGCUAUUUCUAGAGAUAGAAAGUUACUUCGGUACAUCGGUGACAGGUGGUGCAUGGUUGUCGUCAGCUCGUGUCGUGAGAUGUUGGGUUAAGUCCCGCAACGAGCGCAACCCCUAUUGUUAGUUGCCAUCAUUCAGUUGGGCACUCUAGCGAGACUGCCGGUAAUAAACCGGAGGAAGGUGGGGAUGACGUCAAAUCAUCAUGCCCCUUAUGACCUGGGCUACACACGUGCUACAAUGGUUGGUACAACGAGUUGCGAGUCGGUGACGGCAAGCUAAUCUCUUAAAGCCAAUCUCAGUUCGGAUUGUAGGCUGCAACUCGCCUACAUGAAGUCGGAAUCGCUAGUAAUCGCGGAUCAGCACGCCGCGGUGAAUACGUUCCCGGGCCUUGUACACACCGCCCGUCACACCACGAGAGUUUGUAACACCCGAAGUCGGUGAGGUAACCUUUUGGAGCCAGCCGCCUAAGGUGGGAUAGAUGAUUGGGGUGAAGUCGUAACAAGGUA